CCGUUGCCGGCGACCGGCGCACGGGUGAGUAACACGUAUGCAGCCUGCCCGUGGCAGGGGGAUAAGCGGGGGAAACCCCGUCUAAUACCGCGUAACGCGGCCUUGGGGCAUCCCAAGGCCGCCAAAGGGAGCAAUCCCGGCCACGGAUGGGCAUGCGGCGCAUUAGCUAGUCGGCGGGGUAACGGCCCACCGAGGCGACGAUGCGUAGGGGUUCUGAGAGGAAGGCCCCCCACACUGGUACUGAGACACGGACCAGACUCCUACGGGAGGCAGCAG
This 276-nucleotide ribosomal RNA is filed under the name uncultured bacterium. RNAcentral describes it as "partial 16S ribosomal RNA". It matches the Rfam family "Bacterial small subunit ribosomal RNA", at positions 82 to 354 of the family's 1533-position model. The record is from RNAcentral.